Cygnus olor (mute swan) is the source of this 1526-nucleotide long non-coding RNA. RefSeq lists it as uncharacterized. NCBI's taxonomy places the organism in Eukaryota, Metazoa, Chordata, Aves, Anseriformes, Anatidae. The record is from RefSeq and is a predicted model, not a curated record. The transcript has 7 exons.
UCUAUCAACAUGAAGCAUGGAGUUGAAUAGGAGCAUUUAAUAAAGUGACUUGUAUGUGAUGGACAACAGGAUAAAGAUCAGAGCAGAGGGGCAGUUUUCCAAUAUAUUAAUCUGUCACCAGAGCUCCACGUGAAGUCCUCUGCUGUUCCUUCAUCCGACCGGCAGUGCGACAGAAAGGCCUGGAGCUGGUCGGGGCCAACCCCAGGCCUGAGUGCUGGGUGCGCAAGCUAUCGCUGCAAGACUGGCAGAUUGUCGAUAAAUGCAGUAAACAACAGGCUGCUUUCUUUCAGAACAAGUUAUAUGAAGUCGUCAUCCAUUUGGCGACCCAAAUGCUGCAAAGCUGAGCUGUAGUUUGGUCUUUUUACCUGCAUGGCAGAGUAAGAUGAAUGAGACCUCAGGCUGCACAAUUACAUGACCUGGCUCUUCUGGGUUUUCUCAGAGCACAGCACUACACAUCAGCCCUGGUUACAUGGUAUACCCGACAGGGAUAUCUGAUGCAGUUGCAUUCCCUGAACUACUGGGUGCUCCAGCAGCGGGAGCUGUCUGGGAUGCAGCCACCUUAUUGUCAUCAGCCACCCAAAUACCUUCAAAAAUCAGUCUUCUGGUGGACUCUGCCUUGCUUUACCAUGCCAAUAAAGACAUAGAUGGACCCAUAUUGGUGAUCAAAGGUUCCCAGGAAGCAGAGCAACGCAGUGAAACUGAAAUCAUUAUGUUGACUGAAUUCGUUACCACUGGAUUCGCCCCACCAUGAAAUAGCACUGUGCAGCCAAUUGGGAUUCAUGGUCACAGCCCUUUAUUGGAUCAUCAGGGUUUAUAGUCCAUAACAAAUACAAAUACAGAAAGGAACAAUAACAGUAUGAUACAUCUGACCUAUUAUCCCACCUUACCAGAAUCUGUAUCGUGAGUACCGAAAUAGGACCAGCUGAAUGCUUUCUGAGGGCUUUCUGUUAUACAGACAAAUGGGAGAGUCAUGUAUGAAAUGGAAGCCAUGUCUCCAAAUGCAGCGCUCUUGGUGCGGUCUUUAAUGACUAAAAGCCAUCCUUAUGCAUACAACAUGUCGUUUGUGAUUUUUUAAAAUAGUGGUUUGUAGGGAACCUUGGGAGCUUUGCUUGAAGCAUGUGAACACUGCAGAAAUAUUUGGUUAGAGAAGUAACUGAAGUCGGUUCUGCAGAAUACUUCAGAAGAAAUCUGAAAUCCCAGCAGAUCACCCCUUUCAGAGAAGCAAACAUGCCUGUCUACCUGCCACCAAAAUGCGAGAGCGAACUCCAGCGUAAAAAUACACAGUUGGCACAACCUCUGUUUGCAAGUCAGCCACUCUGUGCUACACAACAUGGCUGAUCCUUAUAUAUUUUGUGAAUCUAAUGUCAUUUUUGUCAAUCUUUUGAAACAUAUGGAAGGUCUCUGUAGUAGAGAGAUUUAAUCUACCUAUGACACUUUCACAGUUAUCUGUUCAGGUUAAUCUUGGGAGGCUGGUAAUAGAUAUAGAAUGUUAGAUCAAUUCUUUCUGUACUCCUAUGGUAAAAUAA